AUUGAACGCUGGCGGCAGGCCUAACACAUGCAAGUCGAGCGGAUGAAGGGAGCUUGCUCCUGGAUUCAGCGGCGGACGGGUGAGUAAUGCCUAGGAAUCUGCCUGGUAGUGGGGGAUAACGUCCGGAAACGGGCGCUAAUACCGCAUACGUCCUGAGGGAGAAAGUGGGGGAUCUUCGGACCUCACGCUAUCAGAUGAGCCUAGGUCGGAUUAGCUAGUUGGUGGGGUAAAGGCCUACCAAGGCGACGAUCCGUAACUGGUCUGAGAGGAUGAUCAGUCACACUGGAACUGAGACACGGUCCAGACUCCUACGGGAGGCAGCAGUGGGGAAUAUUGGACAAUGGGCGAAAGCCUGAUCCAACCAUGCCGCGUGUGUGAAGAAGGUCUUCGGAUUGUAAAGCACUUUAGGUUGGGAGGAAGGGCAGUAAGUUAAUACCUUGCUGUUUUGACGUUACCAACAGAAUAAGCACCGGCUAACUUCGUG
Molecule: ribosomal RNA, 484 nt
Filed under: uncultured bacterium
Lineage: Bacteria
Description: partial 16S ribosomal RNA
Rfam family: Bacterial small subunit ribosomal RNA
Source: RNAcentral